UAAUAACAUAAUACAUACAAUUAUAUUUUGCUGGAUAAUAUGUCUAAAAUAACUUAAGCUCUGAUUUCAUAAUUGGCCACCAGGAUAAUGGAGAGUUUUAAGUGUCCUUAACCUGUAGUCUUUUUCAAGAGAUCUUUGACUAUUGUAUUAUGUGGUGUGUCUAUACAUUUUUCUGGGAGCUCCAUAGCACUUAAUUGCUCUGUGACCCCCACCUACCCCCAAAAAAGUAAACAGUAACUUCUUUGAAAGUAGCAUAUGUCACCAUAUCAACUGUCAAGUGUUUUGUGUUUUUGAGUAUAAUCCUAGACAAAUUUUAAUUAAAAUUAACCCUCAAAAUCUUCCGGCAUAUAAAUUGGUGUUUGGG
This 364-nucleotide long non-coding RNA is filed under the name Homo sapiens (human). RNAcentral's name for it is "HSALNT0010511". The record is from RNAcentral. Lineage: Eukaryota; Metazoa; Chordata; Mammalia; Primates; Hominidae.